Molecule: ribosomal RNA, 404 nt
Filed under: uncultured bacterium
Lineage: Bacteria
Description: bacterial SSU rRNA
Rfam family: Bacterial small subunit ribosomal RNA
Source: RNAcentral
UGAGGAAUAUUGCACAAUGGGCGAAAGCCUGAUGCAGCAACGCCGCGUGAGGGACGAAGGCCUUCGGGUUGUAAACCUCUUUUCUGGGGAAAGAGACAGGACGGUACCUCAGGAAUAAGUCUCGGCUAACUACGUGCCAGCAGCCGCGGUAAAACGUAGGAGGCGAGCGUUAUCCGGAUUUACUGGGCGUAAAGCGCGCGCAGGCGGUUCCGUUAGUCGGACGUGAAAGCUCCUGGCUUAACUGGGAGAGGUCGUUCGAUACUGCGGGACUUGAGGUUGGGAGAGGGGUGUGGAAUUCCCGGUGUAGUGGUGGAAUGCGUAGAUAUCGGGAGGAACACCUGUGGCGAAAGCGGCACCCUGGCCCACACCUGACGCUGAGGUGCGAAUGCGUGGGUAGCAAACAG